ACUUGCUUUAUUUAAAAGUUGUGUUAUCUUGUGUGAGAUUAAACGGCCCCGCGUUGGUUUUGCGGGGUGAUUUUUUUCUGUAGGACCCUGCCGCAAACUAAUGUCGCAUCCUCCAGUCAAAAAUCUUUGAAACUUUUAUUUUAGGAGGAUGUUCUCCAUGGCAAAUGGUACUGUAAAGUGGUUUAACGAUCAAAAAGGUUUUGGUUUUAUUGAGCAAGACGGCGGCCCCGAUGUUUUCGUGCAUCAUUCCGCAAUCAACUCCAGCGGCUUCAGGAGCCUGAACGAAGGCGACCGGGUGACCUUCGAUAUCGAGCAGGGCGCCAAGGGCCCCUCUGCGAAAAACGUCACCGUAGGUUAAGUUUUCGCAAGAUAGUUCAAGGACGCGCUUCUCAAUAGAAGCGCGUCCUUU
Molecule: small RNA, 409 nt
Filed under: Desulfatibacillum alkenivorans AK-01
Lineage: Bacteria; Pseudomonadati; Thermodesulfobacteriota; Desulfobacteria; Desulfobacterales; Desulfatibacillaceae
Description: cspA thermoregulator
Rfam family: cspA thermoregulator
Source: Rfam by way of RNAcentral